AAGAUUUUAAGUUAAUUAAACUAUUAACCUUCAAAGUUGAAAUUAUUUUUUAAGUCUUA
Molecule: transfer RNA, 59 nt
Filed under: Pristaulacus compressus
Lineage: Eukaryota; Metazoa; Arthropoda; Insecta; Hymenoptera; Aulacidae
Description: tRNA-Trp
Source: RNAcentral